GUAGGUGAACCUGCGGAAGGAUCAUUAGCCGUAGUUUUUGAAGUCCACGGGGCAAUGCUUUCUGAAAGGACAGUUGGUGGAUGUUUGGUUCCACUGGCUGGGGCGGACUGGAGAAUGCAUCAGCGAUGUACUGACUGACCACAUUCGGCCUCCGCUGAUCGAGCUUGUUCCUGAAUUCUACCCUUGCUUUUUGCGCACCCAUUGUUUCCUCGGCAGGCUUGCCUGCCAGUAGGACCCCCUUUAACCCUUU
RNAcentral lists this unclassified non-coding RNA (250 nucleotides) under plant metagenome. RNAcentral describes it as "partial contains small subunit ribosomal RNA, internal transcribed spacer 1, and 5.8S ribosomal RNA". The record is from RNAcentral.